This 253-nucleotide ribosomal RNA is filed under the name uncultured bacterium. RNAcentral's name for it is "partial 16S ribosomal RNA". It matches the Rfam family "Bacterial small subunit ribosomal RNA", at positions 524 to 776 of the family's 1533-position model. The record is from RNAcentral.
UACAGAGGGUGCGAGCGUUAAUCGGAAUUACUGGGCGUAAAGCGCACGUAGGCGGCUUGGCAAGUCGGAUGUGAAAUCCCUCGGCUCAACCAAGGAAGUGCAUCCGAAACUGCUGAGCUUGAGUACUUAAGAGGAUCGCGGAAUUCCCGGUGUAGAGGUGAAAUUCGUAGAUAUCGGGAGGAACACCAGUGGCGAAGGCGGCGAUCUGGGAAGAUACUGACGCUGAGGUGCGAAAGCGUGGGGAGCAAACAGG